RNAcentral lists this long non-coding RNA (1028 nucleotides) under Marmota monax (woodchuck). The record is from RNAcentral. Lineage: Eukaryota; Metazoa; Chordata; Mammalia; Rodentia; Sciuridae.
UCCUGGUCAGAAAAAGUAGAUCAGGGAAGGGAGUCUGGGGUAGAGGUAUGUGGACAGACUUACAGAAGCAGGAAGAUUCAUAUCCUACCAAAAGUCAUGCAGCUAUCACUGACUAAAAACUGAAUAGCCAAGUGGUGGCCUCAACCCACUGAUUCAGCCAGCCUCUGUCAUUGGCCACUCCAAUGUUGAUACAAUGGUUAGAUGAACAAAGUGGCUGUGGUGGCAGAGAUGGUAACUAUUCACAGGCAACAGCAGACAGUGUCAUUUAGUAAGACACUAAUUUGUCUACUGCUGCUACCAAAGUCCUCAACAUGACACAAUUUCUGAAGAAAACCAACCAGCCAAGUCUCAUCAGCAAAAUGAGACCUUGCCCUCCUGGAAGGCCCAGCAGUUUAUUCUUAAUUCUCACAAGAACAGGCAAACAUUUGCUCUUCCUAAUCAGAGCUUCACCCUGAAUGACCUUCCAAAGCCUUAGAGAAUGUUGGAUCCACUGUUGUGGGGUUCCAUAUAACACCACCUCAGACCAGAGAUCCAACUUGACAGCCAUAGGUGGGGUGACAAUGAGCCCAUGAAAAUGGGAUUUAGUGAUGGUUGCACAUAAUGCACCACCUGAAAGGCACUGGAAUGGUAUACUGAUGACAUGAACAAGACUCCAUGAGCAUGAGUGACAUUCUGCAAGAGUCAGUGUAUGCAUUGAAUUAAGGACUCCAUUACUAUACCCCCAAGGAUGGACACCUGGAUCUAAGUAGCAUGAAGUGGACCAAGUAGCCCAACUCACUGUCAUGGCCACUAAUUCACUUUCUCUUUCUGUCCCUUUAUCUUUGAGCUGCAGAGUGGGAAUUCCUGGGCCUCUUGCAUUGAGAGGUAGGGAUCUUUAGGUUGCCCGUGACCAGGGCUUCUAGUGAUCAGGGCCAAUUACCCUACCAAAAUGAAGUCACUCUCUGCCUGUGGGUCUACUAUUACACAAUGAGAAAAAGGAGGAAUAUAUCUGGUACAUAGAUGUAGAAAAAAAUGUCAUGUUGAGCCUG